AAAAAGUGCUUAUCAUGAUUCUGUAACAACAUUUGAAAUGUCUAAUUAUGACAAUUAUAAAUAUUCAUUUUUCCUUAAACACUUUUCCUUGGCUUUUUAUGAAGGAUUUUUUCAAUCUACUAAUUUCUUGCAAUUUGGAUCAUUUCCUAGUGAUUGCUCAUUGCCUUUUUCCCAUGUUUUUCAAAGAAUAUCGACCUAAUUUGCUAAGGAAAGGCACCGGAAAGCAGCAAAAGAAAAAUCAUGUCCUUCCAGGUUUUAAAGGGUAACUAUAGCAAGAUGUAUUUGUUUUUUACAUAAAUGCAUAACACAAGGGUCACUUUAACUUUGAUUCUGAAACAACUGUGACCAAGAUAUGUACCAAACCAGAAUGUUUUAUAGUGAAAAAUAAGCCAGCAUCAGCUGUGGUUUAAAGCAAGUCCCAUAGAACUGGUCAUUUCAGCUCCAUGCUACAUUUGAUGUGAUUGCAGCAUCCAAAAAAAUUGAACAGUGUCUGACCUGCAGCCAAAAAACUAUAGAGGAGCGUGACAUACCAAGGUUCUGUGGUAAUGUUGUUCAUGGUAUUUUUAGCUCACCUGAGAACUUCACUGACAAACCUAUAAAUCAACUCAAUUUCAUUAUGUAAAUUACUUAUUACUUAAAUUAUUAAGAACUGCACCAUUGGGCGAUCAAGAUUGAAAAGUGACACAUUGGGGAAACUUAAUUGUCAAAUGUCAAGAGUUGAACCUGAAUCGAUCAACAACACUACUAAAUACCAUUACAUAUAUAUCGCUUUUCAAUUUACUCUUAAAGAUGAAGUCAGUCAGUAAGACUUCUAAAAAGACUUAAGUGAGCAGGUGGGACUGGAUGUGGACUUGAACAACUUUUGUUCUCAUGUCCUUCUCCACAGGAGCUAACUCAUAAUAUCAGGGUUUACUGCAAAAUAGCCAUAUAGAAUAUAGCUUCAAGGUAAAAAUGUGUACCUUUCUUAAAGUUUGAAUAGUCUUUUAGAUCGUUGUUUAGAAACCUGAUAUCUUUCUGAUAAGAUGAUGAUUGUGAUGAUCCAUGAUUUGGAAAAUGCUCCAGCUAGUGAGGUCUUGCACACCAGGGUGUAAUGUUUUUACAAACAGAUCGCACAUGAUAUGAGGGGUGGAGAUGGUAAAAAUGUUUCGAAGAUGGGUUUAAAAAUACAUAUGAAAAAAAGCACCAGCAAUAUUAUAAUGAUUAAUUCUGAGCAUGUUUUUGCACAGGAGGGCUUCUUAAGUACGUGAUCAGUUUUCUGCUCCCAGUUGAUGAUCCUCAGGUCUCGAAUGUGUCUUCAGUCAGCUGUCACACUGCUGUUAUAAUAGAUGCCAUAGUGCCAUAAUGUGUAGCCUUAUUUAGCCUUUGAGUAGAGAAUAUAUAGUUCAUAUCUGUCGAGUCUCUUUGACUUGGUAACUGAGUAACUCCUCAGUGUGCUCUGAUUGAUUCAUCAUCUUUUAAUUAAUGUUAUAUUAUGCAGGAUGUGGGUUUCUUGUAUUUUGCCACAAAGUUCAGCACACGUCAGAUCUGGAUUAAACAAUGACCAAAUUUUAGAUUCACAGAGAUUAUCUGAGCAUAUUUCUCUGCGUGUGUUUAUUGUGUCAGCGCACAGUCUACAAAGGGAAUGAGUGACUAUCGUGCAGCUAGAGGAAACACUCCAUGUAGAAAUGUGCCAGUCAGAUAUAGCUUCCAGUGCACUGAGGGAAACCUUCUCCAGCUGAGCACUUUUCAACAUAUGCAGCAUUGGACAGUGGUGUUCAGCUCCUGCUGCUACACUGUAUAUAUGCUCUUUAUAUCUGCUGAAUGAAAUUCUAUUUUUCUGUCGCAUUUUGUAUAAAAUAUUGUUAUUAAAAGUUACAGUGAA
This is a non-coding RNA of Plectropomus leopardus (leopard coralgrouper), 1861 nucleotides long. The record is from RefSeq and is a predicted model, not a curated record. Lineage: Eukaryota; Metazoa; Chordata; Actinopteri; Perciformes; Serranidae.